RNAcentral lists this ribosomal RNA (945 nucleotides) under Vreelandella aquamarina. Its description in RNAcentral is "bacterial SSU rRNA". It matches the Rfam family "Bacterial small subunit ribosomal RNA", at positions 539 to 1496 of the family's 1533-position model. Lineage: Bacteria; Pseudomonadati; Pseudomonadota; Gammaproteobacteria; Oceanospirillales; Halomonadaceae. The record is from RNAcentral.
CNNUAUCGGAUUACUGGGCGUAAGCGCGCGUAGGUGGCUUGAUAAGCCGGUUGUGAAAGCCCCGGGCUCAACCUGGGAACGGCAUCCGGAACUGUCAAGCUAGAGUGCAGGAGAGGAAGGUAGAAUUCCCGGUGUAGCGGUGAAAUGCGUAGAGAUCGGGAGGAAUACCAGUGGCGAAGGCGGCCUUCUGGACUGACACUGACACUGAGGUGCGAAAGCGUGGGUAGCAAACAGGAUUAGAUACCCUGGUAGUCCACGCCGUAAACGAUGUCGACCAGCCGUUGGGUGCCUAGCGCACUUUGUGGCGAAGUUAACGCGAUAAGUCGACCGCCUGGGGAGUACGGCCGCAAGGUUAAAACUCAAAUGAAUUGACGGGGGCCCGCACAAGCGGUGGAGCAUGUGGUUUAAUUCGAUGCAACGCGAAGAACCUUACCUACUCUUGACAUCCUGCGAAUUUGGUAGAGAUACCUUAGUGCCUUCGGGAACGCAGAGACAGGUGCUGCAUGGCUGUCGUCAGCUCGUGUUGUGAAAUGUUGGGUUAAGUCCCGUAACGAGCGCAACCCUUGUCCUUAUUUGCCAGCGCGUAAUGGCGGGAACUCUAAGGAGACUGCCGGUGACAAACCGGAGGAAGGUGGGGGACGACGUCAAGUCAUCAUGGCCCUUACGAGUAGGGCUACACACGUGCUACAAUGGUCGGUACAAAGGGUUGCCAACUCGCGAGAGUGAGCCAAUCCCGAAAAGCCGAUCUCAGUCCGGAUCGGAGUCUGCAACUCGACUCCGUGAAGUCGGAAUCGCUAGUAAUCGUGGAUCAGAAUGCCACGGUGAAUACGUUCCCGGGCCUUGUACACACCGCCCGUCACACCAUGGGAGUGGACUGCACCAGAAGUGGUUAGCCUAACGCAGAGGCGAUCACCACGUGUGUCAUGACUGGGUGACNNNAANAGA